AAUCAACGCUGGCGGCGUGCCUAACACAUGCAAGUCGAACGCGAAAGUUCCUUCGGGGAUGAGUAGAGUGGCGUCCGGGUGAGUAACGCGUGGGUAAUCUACCUUUGGGUGGGGAAUAACUCAGGGAAACUUGAGCUAAUACCGCAUAAUGCAGCGGCUCGACAUCGAGACAGUUGUUAAAGCAGCAAUGCGCCUGAAGAGGAGCCUGCGUCUGAUUAGCUUGUUGGUGAGGUAAUGGCUCACCAAGGCUGCGAUCAGUAGCUGGUCUGAGAGGUCGGCCAGCCACAAUGGCACUGAAACACGGGCCAUACUCCUACGGGAGGCAGCAGUGGAGAAUUUUGCGCAAUGGGCGAAAGCCUGACGCAGCAACGCCGCGUGAAGGAUGAAAUCCUUCGGGAUGUAAACUUCGCAAGUAUGGGAAGAAAUAAAUGACGGUACCAUAUGUAAGCCCCGGCUAACUCCGUGCCAGCCGCCGCCGUAA
RNAcentral lists this ribosomal RNA (481 nucleotides) under uncultured bacterium. RNAcentral describes it as "partial 16S ribosomal RNA". It matches the Rfam family "Bacterial small subunit ribosomal RNA", at positions 32 to 523 of the family's 1533-position model. The record is from RNAcentral.